GAAAUGCGAUACUUGGUGUGAAUUGCAGAAUCCCGUGAACCAUCGAGUCUUUGAACGCAAGUUGCGCCCGAAGCCAUUAGGCCGAGGGCACGCCUGCCUGGGCGUCUCACGUUGCGUCGCCCGCGCCCCCUCCCCCCCUCUCGAAAAUGAAGGGGGGAAGAAGGGCUGCGGGCGGAUGUUGGCCCCCCGCGCGCGGGCGCGCGGUCGGCCCAAAAGCGAGUCCCCCGCGACCGACGACGCGUCGCGACGAGUGGUGGUUGACAAACCGUUGCGUCGCCUCGCGCGCGUCCGG
RNAcentral lists this unclassified non-coding RNA (292 nucleotides) under uncultured fungus. RNAcentral describes it as "sequence contains ITS1". The stretch from base 1 to 107 matches the Rfam family "5.8S ribosomal RNA", at positions 50 to 154 of the family's 154-position model. Lineage: Eukaryota; Fungi. The record is from RNAcentral.